UGGGGAAUUGUUCACAAUGGGCGCAAGCCUGAUGACGCAACGCCGCGUGGGGGAUGAAGGUCUUCGGAUUGUAAACCCCUGUCGAAUGGGACGAAAGACUCGCGAGUUAAUACUUCGCGGGAGUGACGGUACCGUUAAAGGAAGCCACGGCUAACUCUGUGCCAGCAGCCGCGGUAAUACAGAGGUGGCAAGCGUUGUUCGGAAUUACUGGGCGUAAAGGGCGCGUAGGCGGCCUACUAAGUCAGACGUGAAAUCCCCCGGCUUAACCUGGGAACUGCGUCUGAUACUGGAAGGCUUGAGUAUGGGAGAGGGAUGUAGAAUUCCAGGUGUAGCGGUGAAAUGCGUAGAUAUCUGGAGGAAUACCGGUGGCGAAGGCGGCAUCCUGGACCAUUACUGACGCUGAGACGCGAAAGCGUGGGGAGCAAACAGGAUUAGAUACCCAUGUAGUCCCUGAGCGGGCUGGCAAGGCGCAU
RNAcentral lists this ribosomal RNA (473 nucleotides) under uncultured bacterium. RNAcentral describes it as "bacterial SSU rRNA". It matches the Rfam family "Bacterial small subunit ribosomal RNA", at positions 355 to 825 of the family's 1533-position model. The record is from RNAcentral.